ACCUGCGCCAGCCUAACACAUGCAAGUCGAACGGUAACAGGAGCAGCUGCUGCUUUGCUGACGAUGGCGGACGGGUGAGUAAUGUCUUGGGAACUGCCUGAUGGAGGGGGAUAACUACUUGGAAACGGUAGCUAAUACCGCAUAACGUCGCAAGACCCAAAGAGGGGGACCUUCGGGCCUCUUGCCAUCGGAUGUGCCCAGAUGGGAUUAGCUAGUAGGUGGGGUAACGGCUCACCUAGGCGACGAUCCCUAGCUGGUCUGAGAGGAUGACCAGCCACACUGGAACUGAGACACGGUCCAGACUCCUACGGGAGGCAGCAGUGGGGAAUAUUGCACAAUGGGCGCAAGCCUGAUGCAGCCAUGCCGCGUGUAUGAAGAAGGCCUUCGGGUUGUAAAGUACUUUUCAGCGGGGAGGAAGGUCGAUAAGGUUAAUAGCCCUGUCGAUUGAUUUACCCGCGA
RNAcentral lists this ribosomal RNA (459 nucleotides) under Enterobacter hormaechei. Its description in RNAcentral is "bacterial SSU rRNA". It matches the Rfam family "Bacterial small subunit ribosomal RNA", at positions 36 to 484 of the family's 1533-position model. Lineage: Bacteria; Pseudomonadati; Pseudomonadota; Gammaproteobacteria; Enterobacterales; Enterobacteriaceae. The record is from RNAcentral.